AGAUUGAACGCUGGCGGCAUGCCUAACACAUGCAAGUCGCACGGGCACUUCGGUGUCAGUGGCGGACGGGUGAGUAACGCGUAGGUAUCUAUCCUUGGGUGGGGGACAACUGUGGGAAACUACAGCUAAUACCGCAUGAUAACUGAGGUUUAAAGGCGCAAGUCGCCUGAGGAGGAGCCUGCGUACGAUUAGCUAGUUGGUGGGGUAAAGGCCUACCAAGGCGACGAUCGUUAGCUGGUCUGAGAGGAUGAUCAGCCACAUUGGGACUGAGACACGGCCCAAACUCCUACGGGAGGCAGCAGUGGGGAAUAUUGGACAAUGGGCGCAAGCCUGAUCCAGCAAUGCCGCGUGUGUGAAGAAGGUCUUCGGAUUGUAAAGCACUUUCGACGGGGACGAUGAUGACGGUACCCGUAGAAGAAGCCCGGCUAACUUCGCGCCAGCAGCCGC
This 447-nucleotide ribosomal RNA is filed under the name uncultured bacterium. RNAcentral's name for it is "SSU rRNA". It matches the Rfam family "Bacterial small subunit ribosomal RNA", at positions 26 to 518 of the family's 1533-position model. The record is from RNAcentral.